AACGAACGCUGGCGGCAUGCCUAACACAUGCAAGUCGAACGAGACCUUCGGGUCUAGUGGCGCACGGGUGCGUAACGCGUGGGAAUCUGCCCUUUGCUUCGGAAUAACAGUUAGAAAUGACUGCUAAUACCGGAUGAUGUCUUCGGACCAAAGAUUUAUCGGCAAAGGAUGAGCCCGCGUAGGAUUAGGUAGUUGGUGGGGUAAAGGCCUACCAAGCCGACGAUCCUUAGCUGGUCUGAGAGGAUGAUCAGCCACACUGGACUGAGACACGGCCCAGACUCCUACGGGAGGCAGCAGUGGGGAAUAUUGGACAAUGGGCGCAAGCCUGAUCCAGCAAUGCCGCGUGAGUGAUGAAGGCC
RNAcentral lists this ribosomal RNA (359 nucleotides) under uncultured bacterium. RNAcentral's name for it is "bacterial SSU rRNA". It matches the Rfam family "Bacterial small subunit ribosomal RNA", at positions 29 to 416 of the family's 1533-position model. The record is from RNAcentral.